This is a long non-coding RNA of Astatotilapia calliptera (eastern happy), 4197 nucleotides long. NCBI's taxonomy places the organism in Eukaryota, Metazoa, Chordata, Actinopteri, Cichliformes, Cichlidae. The record is from Ensembl.
GAAAGGUCUACAAAUAGGGGACAUUUGUGCUUGUUUUCCAUUAAUCCAACCAUUCUGUUUAUCCUGAAUCGCAGGGGGGCUGUAGCCUCCCAGCUGUCGUAGGCUGUGCUCUCGCCUCUUAGUCCUUUAAAGACAGAAGAAAGAAGUGGUAGUGCAGACUUGCCAAUGACUGUAAAGUUCAAGGAUUUUGAACAUGUUUCUUAAUAAUCUCAUAGCUGACCACAAUGUGACAAUAUGUCAGGUUACAGGUGGAAGCUACGACCCAAAUAAAUCCAGAUUUGCAGACAAAUUCACAAAAUUCAAAGCUUUUAAAUUAAUUUUACAAUAUGUUAACCAAAUCCUAGUUGUUGCUUCUUCCAUAUUUUUUAACUAGUAAUUUAAAAAAAAUCCCCUGAUACAAUUUUCUAAAACCAAAAUGCCUUCAGGUUAAGCAGUUUGAAUAAAACUUUAAGAAGUUAUCCUGAAACUUUUUUGGAUUUAAGUGACUUUAAGAAAAGGUCUAUAUUUUUCUACCGUCUUCAUCAUGUUGGAGUGUACCCACGUACGCCCGUUGUUGUUGUUUUUCUGUUUUUUACAUGACUCUUUGUUUUGUAUACGAAAGACCGUCUGUACGGAAUGACAUCUUCCUACUCUGCUGUGAUAAUGUGGAUCGGAUCUUCUUUGAGUUGCAAUGCAUCCACUGUUAUCAGACCUCUGUAAACUUGGGAGUGGGUGGGUGGGUGUUUUUUUUUGGGGGGGGGGGGGGGGGCUCAACUCGCCGUAUUCCUGUUUUUACCUCUCGCCUUUAUUUCAGCUGGAGAAACAUCAACCAAACGUGCAGUUCGCUCCUCCUGUCUCUCCAGCUCAGCUCGCAGUUAGGAGAAGGGGUAACGUUUGAAGAGGGCCUCUUACUAUUGCUCCUUUUAUACAGACUUUAUAUGCAAAGUGGCUGCCGAAGCAAUUUCUUUGAAUUCUACACUGUAUGGACUUGCUGUGCAGUCGAGUCGUUGCUGACCUCAGAUGUUUGUACUCGAGAGACAAAUCGAAAGGAAGUUUCUCUUUAAUUGUCAUGAACUGAAGGGCCAGUGUCUCUGUGAGUGUCCGUAUGUGCGUACAGUUUUUUCUUCUUUUUUUUUUUGUUCUCUUUUUUUGCACUUGAAAAGAGGAAAGUUGUUACUGUGUGUAAACCAGUGCAUUGCUUAUUUGUGGGAACUGGAUUAACCUGGUUUGUAUUUUACUGCUUCUUUUUAGAUAUUGUGUUACUCCCUGUACCAAAUACUGAGUUUAAGGAUAUUGAUUCAUUGGUGUGAUGAUGAUGAUGAUGAUGAUGAUGAUGAUGGGGUAACUCAAGAGAAAAAGUAGACCACCCCGUUCCUAAAGGGGGUAAGAACUCUUCAGGUUUGCCUAUCAGAGUAAUGCUGUGCUGAUUCGCUGUCCUUCUUCCUCCAGAGACCUAAAAAAACCUCAUGUUAUCGAACCUGUGAUGCUCUUCUGUGCCCCCCUUCCCACCCUUUUCAUAAUGGAUUGUUAAUCUUAAGCAAAUGUAAUAUUUUCAUAUUGUAAUAACUGGUCCUCGUAUUUAGAAAACAUUUUUACCUUCAUGUACCGACUAUACUCUUCAUAAUUCUUUGAGGUGCACUGUGACAAAUACAAUGCUGCUAUAUCACAAAGACUAUUAUUCUGCACGUCACAUUUAGCCGAUGCCAGAAGCUAAAGGUGACAGAUACAAAGUGGGCUCGAAUACAGAGGCCCUGCUUCCAUUGUUUGAAUUCAAUCCAGGCUUCUUUGUGCUGCCUCGGUGCGGUGUAUUAAUCUCAAAGCGACUUCGUGCACAACUGUAGGAUCUGUAGCUGUCCUGUUGGUCUUCCUUUACAAGCAUGACUGGAUGGAAAGAAAGAGUCAAAUGUAGCAGUUUCUAAAAGCUCAUCUCAUUCCUGACAGUGGUUAAAAAGUCUGUGAUGUCUUUUUCUGCAGAUUAAAUCUAUUCCAAACACAGAAGAAACAAUUUAUGGGUGAAUUCUAAUUAGCUGAUUAUUCCUAACCGAUUUUGAACCAACGUGAGGUUUUUUUCAGCAGGUGAUGGUGCAGAUGUGGAAGCAGUUCUGCUUCAGUGUUCUUUGCAAAUAAGCCCACAUUUUGACUUGUUUGAGAGGCAGUUGUUACGUAGCAUUACUAGCAGAAGAAAAUCCUGGCAGACAAAAACUGGGGGACAGCAUCUAACAACCAUUGGGGAAUUUUGCAGCAGUUGCACCUACAGCCACUAAAUUCAGUGGUUUCAGUUUUGUGUUGCCAUUGUUGUAACAAGCACAUUUUUAUUAAAUAGAGUCAAAAUAACUACUGAAUGAAUUGCCAUGAAAUUACAUUUUAAGUCUUCAUCAGUAGAUGACGAGUUAUUAAAACAUUGCUGCCUGUGAGCUUCAGCUGUGCUUUGAUGUUCAUCACUAGCUAAACUUCAUCAUGCAUGCUCACAGUAACAGUGGUUAGCACAGUGAUCUUUAACUGUUUUUAUACACACAUGUGAGUCCAGAUGCGCUAUCAAUGCUAAGAAGUUGGCACCAGACAUGCUGGCUCCAAAGCUACUGGACAGCUACUGAUGGACUACCGAUGUUAGUAAUUAUGAGAGAAGUAAACACAAGAAAUGUACCAAUGGUUUGCAGAUGCAGCCCACAGAUACUGUCUCCCAUGAUUUUCUUCAGAUGUAAAUCAGUAAAAGUCAUCUACGUAAGACUUUGGAACAUUUUAUUCCCGAAAUGUGGGCUUGUUCUCAGAAAGCCGAAAUAUCUCUGCACCAGCACUGGCUUCAGUACAGCGUCAGUGGUAAAUGAUAGCCCAAACCAGCACUGUUGUCAUGGUGCAGUGCUGUUCUAGACAUAAUACGAACUUUUGGGGGGGGGGGGUUGUUUUUAAGUGCAUUACAGAAAUGUGGUAUGCCUCAAAACAGAAGUGUAUUGCGCAUAAACCUUCAUAGUUUUAGCUGCUAGAGUUUCUGCGGAUUUUUUUUUAUCUCCAUGAGAUCAAGAACAAGUUGCCCAAAGUGAUUUUUGUUGGGGUUUUUUUGUUGUUUUAUUUUGUUUAUUGGUCGACAAGUUGAAGCCUGAGCUAUAAUAAUGCCUAAGGAAAAAGUUCCUUCAACUGAAGAAAAACUCUUUACCUGACUUUCACAUUCAGGCAUUUUGCCUGAAUAUAUUUAGACCUGGUUUCAUUUCUAUCCGUGUAAAACAGAAUAUAUUCUUAGCAUAAACAUGCUUUGAGUCUUAUAAACUCUGAGAAUAUUGAGUAGACCUCAGAAAUAGUCCAAAACAAUACAUCAAAAAAUUAUAGUGUAGCACAAAACAAUAUGCAAAAAAAACUAGUGGUGUUAUUCUUAAAUAUUCUUCAGAGAAUCUGUAACUAGCAAAUCAGCCAGUGUCAGCCUUCUGAUAUAUAUCUCUGAUGUACACCGGCCUUCAUUGAGGCUUCCGGGACCUGCCAGAGAGAAAUGAAGUUUGGAAGCUUAAAGUUUUGAAAUGUAAAUGAUGAAAAAAGUGAUGUGGGUUCAAAUUCUUAUCCAGGCAGGAGUCUUGUGCAACACAAAAGCACACCAGCUGCAAAUAAGGUUCUUUGUGGAAAUGCUGUCUGGACAGUGGCUGCUAACAAACUCGUUCAUUCAUGUACUUUCUCUUCCAUUUCUUACAUGUUUGAUUAGCAGCAGCUCUGAUUACACGGGUUCCUGUGUUGGUGACAUGACUGAAGAUUUCCCAUCAAGUGAUUAAACUGCUGUCUUGUCUCUCUUUUGUUGGUUAUAGCUGAAUAUGAUAAUGUUACCAUAAUAGCAUCCCUAAAGUGUGUGGUGCAAAACCUGAUGGCUGGAUUGUGAAGUUGUUCUCCGUGUUUAUUUCUAGUAACCACACUGGAACUGGCUCUUUUAAUAAAGAAAUUCUGAGAAAUGAUUAUGUCUGGGAGUGUGUGUUGUACAUUUAAAAAAAGAAAAAAAAAACCUGUAAACGCUCGGAGAACACAAACAUCCAGUGCACUGUGAUAGGCUGAUGUGCGCCCUCUUGACCGAUCACCAGCACUCUCUGAAUGGAGUCAGUAGUGUCUGUUUGGAAAGUAUUGAACGCUUAGGUUUCCGUCAAUACAAAUGACCAAUUGCAAUUGAUGAUUCUUAUGAUCACCCCACCCAGAUCUGCUUUGCUCAUCAUUAUAUAAAACUGGUUUGGGAUUCACAGCACUGCGAUG